This is a long non-coding RNA of Etheostoma spectabile (orangethroat darter), 435 nucleotides long. RefSeq lists it as uncharacterized. The transcript has 3 exons. NCBI's taxonomy places the organism in Eukaryota, Metazoa, Chordata, Actinopteri, Perciformes, Percidae. The record is from RefSeq and is a predicted model, not a curated record.
GACAGUCUGCAGGCCCCUGCAGUGAGAGCGGUGCAACUGGAAGAGAGCUGGCCGGUUGGGGAGGUGGAGGACGGGGAGAGAAGAGGAAGGAGGCUCCGGGAGCAAGCGAGACAAAAAGGGUCAGGCCUGGGACUUGGGAAAAUCGGAGAGCGGAAAGAAGAAGGAUCGUCUCUUUUUUUGUUCCUUUGAGUUUUAUUUUUCACCUCAUCUACAUCGCCCCCAUUAUUAGAUAUCACCCAUAGACUCGAUGAUGCCGUCCAACACUGUCACCAACACCACUGCAUUGAAAGGCUCAGGCUACACUGAUUCACCUGGAAACAGAAUGGGUGAAAGCACACUACGAGACAUGGACCUGAUGACAGAGGAGAAGUCGGCUAAAGGUAGUGCCUCUUGUAAAGUUGGCAAGCCUGGACGAAAGCGCAAGCAGUUUCCAGU